Schistocerca americana (American grasshopper) is the source of this 300-nucleotide long non-coding RNA. RefSeq lists it as uncharacterized. Lineage: Eukaryota; Metazoa; Arthropoda; Insecta; Orthoptera; Acrididae. The transcript has 3 exons. The record is from RefSeq and is a predicted model, not a curated record.
CCAACAACGGCCUAGGAAGCUCGAUGCCCUCGCGGCCCAGGCUCUUCCAUGGCUUGCGGACAGCUGCCAUAGCGCUAACCGGGGCACUAGUUUGGUGACAUCCACUGUCACGUUCACAGUUGUCAUGUCACUCUGCUAUCUAAACUGCGGACAACAACUCUGGCAUAUUACCUGUUUCAAUGCUCUCAAACAUCAAUGCACAGCACAUGAGGACUGAGCUUUUUUUAAGUGGCAGCCUCCUACGCUGGACACGGACAUGGAUGCAGACAUUUGUUAAAACAAGUAAUCUAGAAACAUAAA